ACACUUCAGCUCUUUUAUUCAAUUAAUGUUUUAGAAGCAGAUGUGAUGUUCACUCAGGCUAAAGAACACACACACACACACACACACACACACACACACUCCUGCACACUGCACACAUAUUAUAAGCCUUUUAAUAGAGCAGAUGAAUUGCUAGAAAACACGGGGUAGGCUGAGAGUGAGCGUGUGUGUGUGUGUGUGUGUGUGUGUGUGCUGAACAUUUCCACAGCCAAGCAUCAAGUGGCAAAAAAUCUCAUAGUGUGGGAGAGAGAGAGAGCGAGAGAGAGAGAGAAUGAGGGAGAGAAAGAGAAGGGUACAUAUAUAGGGAGAGGAAAAGAGAGAGAGAAAGACAGAUAAAGUGAGAGGGGACAUAACGAGAGGGAGAAAGAGAGAGAGAGAAGGGUAUAUAUAUAGGGAGAGGAAAAGAGAGAGAGAGAAAGACAGAUAAAGAGAGAGGGGACAUAACGAGAGGGAGACAAAGAGAGAGAGAGAGAGAGAGAGAGAGAGAGAGGGACAGAGUAAACUGUUGCCAGGUUGGAUCGUAUUGCUAUUAGAGUGACAGUGUGUGUAGCUGAAUAGAGUGUGUGUGGUGUGUGUGAUGUGUGUGUGUGUUAGAGUGUGUUAGAGUGCUGGAGUAUUCCUCCGUCUGAUCAUCCCUCACUCUGCGCUCGCCUGAGGACUGCAUGCAGGGAGAGAGAGCCUGUCCCCCAGGAGACAAUCACACACCGGGACACUCACACACCGGGACACACACACACUUAUGCAGACACACUGCGCAGAGGGACCCAGACCUCUCCUGACCCAGCCUGCACUGUGGGACGGGGGUGUUGGGGAGCUGGGAUGAGGACCUGACCCGGCUGCAGUGGACAGUCUGAGACAUGAGUGUGUCCUCCGCCGCGCAGUGUGUGUGAGGGACGGGGACACGGAGAUGGACGGAGUGUGUCCUCCAGCCGGGAGCCGCAGCCGCUCGGAUCAAAUGCUCCAGUUUGGAUAACACACUGCGAGAGAGAGCGCGCACACACACACACACACACACACACGGACGAGGACGCGGAGGGAGAGGAUCCAGCGGGAAGCGCCAGGGUCCUGGAUUUUUCCACAGUUCCCUGGAAACCCCUGCUUACUGGGCUUCUCCAAACAGUGAUAUAGCCAAACCCCUCCACUGACCCCCCCAGGACCAAACGACUAAGACGGGGGAGUCAGUGAAGGGGGGAGAAAUUUCUACUUUGAAGUCCUGUAGACAUACUUUGGCUGGACCAUUCGCGCAACGCUGAAUAGAGA
RNAcentral lists this long non-coding RNA (1278 nucleotides) under Astyanax mexicanus (Mexican tetra). RNAcentral's name for it is "lncRNA (ENSAMXG00005014842.1)". The record is from RNAcentral. Lineage: Eukaryota; Metazoa; Chordata; Actinopteri; Characiformes; Acestrorhamphidae.